UUAUUUAGCCUAUAGAGGCCCUUAUUUUGACGCGCGGCUUGCCGGAAGUGGUCAGGUGCGCGAGCGCGCACAGAUCACGGAAGCACGGAGAUCGGAGAAGCGCGCCUAGCACGAGGGAGAGAGCUAUCGCUUGCACGGAGAAAUUCACGGAGCUAAAGUUAAAUUUAAGGACUGAUUAAAGAGUAUUUAAUGCAUAUUUGAGUUUGUUUUUUGUUCUGUUCAUCUUCAUUGUUUGAACACCUGGUUGGAAGGGAGAACAAGCUUUUACGGUGCUGAACAGUCUUUAAGGACGGCAAUCGCAACAAUAAAGGCACAAAGGAGGACAGUGCAACAUCAGUGCAUGAGUUUAAUCCUUUAUUUCUCCAACCGGGCUGUUACACACCCAUCCAUCCAUCCAUCCAUCCAUUCAUCCAUUUGUCAUUCAUCCAUCCAUCCAUGUCAUUCAUCCAUCCGUCUGUCUAUCUGUCCUUCAAUCCAUCCAUAAUUUACAUAUCCAUCCGUCCGUCCGACACUCCAUCCAUCCACCCAACCCCCCUAAUUUUUUGCUUAACUUUUUGUGAAACACAUAAACACACCAGGGCCCAAUUUUCCCAUUUUGCCCUCAAACUUUCUGCCUCUUAUUUUGACACUCUCCUACCAUUUCCUUGUCCUCUGUGAUUUACAGAGCUGUUUCUUCGCUAGACUUCUUUCCCCAUUUCAGAUUUUCAAAGAUGUACUUUUUCUCCCCAACCCGUUCGACUGUUCAGUCUUUCUAUUAAAAUGUCUUCGCAUCUCA
Molecule: non-coding RNA, 775 nt
Organism: Danio rerio (zebrafish)
Lineage: Eukaryota; Metazoa; Chordata; Actinopteri; Cypriniformes; Danionidae
Source: RefSeq, a predicted model, not a curated record